Long non-coding RNA from Passer montanus (Eurasian tree sparrow), 1101 nucleotides. RefSeq lists it as uncharacterized. NCBI's taxonomy places the organism in Eukaryota, Metazoa, Chordata, Aves, Passeriformes, Passeridae. The record is from RefSeq and is a predicted model, not a curated record. The transcript has 2 exons.
CAUUUCAACACUUAAGUCAUUGCACAGAGCAGAUUCACUUUUAAUCCUGCAGUGCAGCUCCCUGAGUUGGUUUUUUUGUAGGGUGUGGAAAAUGCUCGAUGCUAGUUGUGAUAACUCAUGACGAUGACAUUUAUCCUUGGGAAACUGGGUUAAAGUUUCUGCUGUAGCUUGGAGGAGCCAAGAAAACCUGAGCCAGUGAUAAAAGAGCACUUAAAAAGUUGCCACCUCUAUGAGCUGCAUGGCUGGUGCUGAGGAGCAGCCUUACAGCACACAAAGAAAGGGAGAAACAGUGGCUAAGAUCUAGGUCCUUACACCUCAGAAGCACUAAGGAUCCUCCAGCUGAUCCUGCCCAGGAAAGCAGAAAGCCUCACUGCUUUGGGGAAUAAGGAGUAGUGAAAUUUGUGCAGUUUAUGCAUCCUGCUAGUAUUUCAGCCAGGAAUGUGAAAUCUAAUUGGGGUUUGGCACAGGUUUAGUGAUGGUUACCAAUUACAAUUAACUGUUAUUGUCUGUUAAGUGCUGACAGACAUAAAAGGAGGCAGUGCCACCCCCAAGCAUGAUAGAAAUCAAAUGAAUCAGCAGUUGCUACCAAUAAUCCUCAUCCCCGCGUGCUAAGGUGCAGCUGAGUUACUCAUUUGGACUUGAUGAAGAGCCUACAAAUAGUGCUUGGUUAAUGUGGAUGGGAUGUAGGGGUCAGGAGAGUCCCUCAUGCUUUUUUUGAUACCACUAAUACUACUACUAAUAUUUCUGUAGCACUUAUGAGAAUAAAAUACCAUUUCAAUGUGUCAGCCCUUUUGAUCCUCACUAAAAAUGUAUUCAGGAAGAUAAGCAAGCCAGCUAGCAAGGUAGCCAUGCAGCAAAUUAAACAACAGUGCAUAUGAAGAAUUCCAAUUUCAAGGAAGAAAAGAAGAAACCUGUAACACAGCCUGGAAAGCACAGCUAUUAAAGCAGAGAGACUUUUGAAGCUACAGGUAGAUGCUGUGCUUUGGGAGAAAAUUCCAAUUUCAAGGAAAAAAAGAAGAAACCUGUAACACAGCCUGGAAAGCACAGCUAUUAAAGCAGAGAGACUUUUGAAGCUACAGGUAGAUGCUGUGCUUUGGGAGA